GCUUGUGAUUCAUGUAGCAAUACAUAGUGAUUGAACAAAUAAAAAGCAACUUUACAGCGUUGAUCUCGCCACCAUUCAUCAAACUUGUGAAACUAGCUGAUUCGCAACGCAAGGAUGCAUUUGCAUCAAAUCAAAUGCUUAGAGGUUGCGGCGCACUUAGUUAAUAGCUCUUUUGGAAUGACGGAGCCCAAGUAGAUGAUCCAUCAACUGCUCUUACAAUUUUUAAAUGGUCUCCGACUCCCGAGAUACGACUGACGGCGAUGUCAACUACCGUCGAUGGAAUGGCUAUGAAGUUGGAACUCUUUGGGAAAAUCCAUACAAAUUGCUCAAGGGCAACCUGUCUCAGAACCUCGAGAUAGAUGAGUGUGGCCAUUGGAGUGACUUUUACCGAUGUGGCUGCGACGUUGUCGCAAAGGAGAUUGGAACGUUGGCUCGCUGUAUAUUGUCAAAUUUUCUGCAGCACGACGACAUGUGAACGACUAUUUAGUGAGUUGGCAUUGAUCCAGACCGUCAAGCGAAAACUGCUGUACUCGACGAAAGCCAGGAAACGUGUGGUCGUCUGUUGAAAAGUUCAAUUCAAAGACGGGUUAGAGGCCAAGGUCAAGGAAGCAAUCCUUGAAUGUACAACAAGUUUUGCUACUGCACGAGCUUGAGAUAACAUCAAGAGUUGCACUAUAUCGCUAGAUGAGAGUCCGCGAGUUCAUGAGAAUUCUCAGCUUCAGCAAGACUAUUCGAAGGAAGAUGAAAGCAAUUUUGAUGAACUGAACUAUGCGAUUGAGGAAGAAGAGGAAAGUGAUGGCGAGGGUGUCGUUGAAGACAUACUGGAUACAUGAUUUGGUAUUAUGGACAGCGACGUGCGUCAGGAAGUGCACAACGACAAUGAAUGGGUGAUUGACGAGGUCGAAGAUGCCGGGGAUGUUGAAUAGAGUCGCAAUACACUGCUUGAUGCGCAUCAUGCGAAUGCCCGAUCCCCUUCUGUAAUGACGAGAACUUCCCGCAAGAGAAGAAGCUGUUUGAUUUGCGAGGUUGUAAGGUCUUCCAAAAGGACUAGUUGAUCACACCUAAUUCACAGUGAGGUUUAUGACAACUGCUUCGGCGUCAAACGCGACUAUUAGUGAUAAAAACGAACAAACGUGACCGCAUAAACACGUAGUGAUUCUAGACCAAAUUGUUUGUUCCAGCUGUGAAGUCCAUGUGUAGAAAGUACCUAAAAGAUAUUUAGUCAUUCAUCUUUAAACUACACGACUUGCAUCAGGCCUGCUGGUUGCAGUGAGAGGUCUCUAGGUCAGAGAGCGAAGGAAGGCACAUAUGUUGUUGCAAAAUGCGUGUACACAUCUCCAACUGAUGAUUGUUGUG
Physcomitrium patens is the source of this 1356-nucleotide long non-coding RNA. RefSeq lists it as uncharacterized. Lineage: Eukaryota; Viridiplantae; Streptophyta; Bryopsida; Funariales; Funariaceae. The record is from RefSeq and is a predicted model, not a curated record.